CCCACAGUGCUCCAUUCUUUCUUUCAGAGUCUCUGGGAGUUUGUUGCUGCUUCUGUUGGUUGAAAAUUGCAAGCUGAAUUUUUGUUCGUCUAUUAUAGGAAUAGUUAAUAGAACUACACAUUUAUGCUUUAUUACUGAGUUACAUAAGAAGAUCAAUACAACAAGUCUGUACGGUAUACCAUCCAUUUUCAACACAGAGCCGUCUCCUUUGAAGUCUGUUUACCGUGCUGAAGCCUUGCUGAGAACACUGGGAUGGCAAUCUGUGACACCAUUGACACCUGGCAUGUAAACAUUGACAAUAACUCAGUCAUAAAACCUCCUGCAGGUUUGCCCUUUCUUACCUUCAUAGGCUUUGGCUGCAGACACAAUGCCCCCUCUGUUCACAGCGACCCCCUUUUUUCUCUCUCAACUUUCACUGCCUUUAUUUUUACUUCUGGAUCCAGACUCAUAAAAGUGUGUAGCCUA
Molecule: long non-coding RNA, 465 nt
Organism: Micropterus dolomieu (smallmouth bass)
Lineage: Eukaryota; Metazoa; Chordata; Actinopteri; Centrarchiformes; Centrarchidae
Exons: 2
Source: RefSeq, a predicted model, not a curated record